Gopherus evgoodei (Goodes thornscrub tortoise) is the source of this 125-nucleotide long non-coding RNA. RefSeq lists it as uncharacterized. NCBI's taxonomy places the organism in Eukaryota, Metazoa, Chordata, Testudines, Testudinidae. The record is from RefSeq and is a predicted model, not a curated record. The transcript is spliced from 3 exons.
GGGCGGGGGUUGCGUCUAGGAUGACUGGAUAGCAAGUGUGAAAAAUCAGGACCGGAGUGGGGGGUAAUAGGUAUCUGUAUAAGAAAAAUCCCUGAAUAGCAGGAUGGUCCCUAUAAAAUUGUGCC